RNAcentral lists this ribosomal RNA (499 nucleotides) under uncultured bacterium. RNAcentral's name for it is "partial 16S ribosomal RNA". It matches the Rfam family "Bacterial small subunit ribosomal RNA", at positions 28 to 507 of the family's 1533-position model. The record is from RNAcentral.
GACGAACGCUGGCGGCGUGCUUAACACAUGCAAGUCGAACGGGCCCGCUCUCUUUUUUGGGGGUGGGUUGAGUGGCGAACGGGUGAGUAUCACGUGAGUAACCUGCCCCCUGCUCCUGGAUAACUGCUUGAAAGGGCGGCUAAUACGGGGUGUGCCGGCUGGUCCGCAUGGGCCUGGUCGGGAUAGUUUCAUCUUCGGGUGUUUCGGUGGGGGAUGGGCUCGCGGCCUAUCAGCUUGUUGGUGGGGUGAUGGCCCACCAAGGCGGUGACGGGUAGCCGGCCUGGGAGGGUGGGCGGCCACACUGGGACUGAGACACGGCCCAGACUCCUGCGGGAGGCAGCAGUGGGGGGUAUUGCACGAUGGGCGGAAGCCUGAUGCAGCGACGGCGCGUGAGGGAUGGAGGCCUUCGGGUUGUGAACCUCUUUCUCCGGUGGUGAAGGCCCUGUCCGUUGCGGCGGGGUUGACGGUAGCCGGGUAUGAAGCGCCGGCUAACUACGUG